This 86-nucleotide ribosomal RNA is filed under the name Acanthamoeba castellanii str. Neff. Lineage: Eukaryota; Discosea; Longamoebia; Acanthamoebidae. The record is from RNAcentral.
GGAUACGGCCAUACUGCGCAGAAAGCACCGCUUCCCAUCCGAACAGCGAAGUUAAGCUGCGCCAGGCGGUGUUAGUACUGGGUNNN